AACGAACGCUGGCGGCGUGGUUAAGACAUGCAAGUCGAACGGGGCAGUCUGGUAGUAAUAUCAGGCUGUUCAGUGGCGAACGGGUGCGUAACACGUGGGUGACAUGCCGGGAAGCGAGGAAUAGCCCAGGGAAACUUGGAUUAAUGCCUCAUGUGGUCGAGAGACUAAAGGUGGUGAAAGCUGCCGCUUCCUGAUUGGCCCGCGGCCUAUCAGCUUGUUGGUGAGGUAAAGGCUCACCAAGGCUACGACGGGUAGCUGGUCUUAGAGGACGACCAGCCACACUGGAACUGAGACACGUUCCAGACACCUACGGGUGGCAG
This 320-nucleotide ribosomal RNA is filed under the name uncultured bacterium. RNAcentral's name for it is "bacterial SSU rRNA". It matches the Rfam family "Bacterial small subunit ribosomal RNA", at positions 29 to 351 of the family's 1533-position model. The record is from RNAcentral.